Oreochromis aureus is the source of this 376-nucleotide long non-coding RNA. RefSeq lists it as uncharacterized. The transcript is spliced from 3 exons. NCBI's taxonomy places the organism in Eukaryota, Metazoa, Chordata, Actinopteri, Cichliformes, Cichlidae. The record is from RefSeq and is a predicted model, not a curated record.
UGCUCUUUUAUGAACUGCCAUACCAGUGUGUCUUCCAUGGAGAAGAUGACACACCCAUCACCUGACCUCCUGCCUAAUCUGGAGACCAUCAUCAUGUUGCCACACUACACACCUCUGAAACCAUCAAGGAUGACUCAUACCGAGGAAACUGUAUUUCCUGUCAGAGAUGCUCAGUGAUCCUCAGAGCAGAGAGAGGUAUCUUCUGAGUUCUUCAGUGUCCCAACUGAGACAUUCAACCCUCAUCACAGAGCUCGUGUCUUUCCUCACCAUCAUGUGAGUGUGAGAUUGCUCUGGAGUCUGGUGGCCUGCAGCAUCUAUGAGAACAAGCUUGUCCUGUGUGCCUGCAUUCCAGCUUCUUAGACUCUACGCAAGUGGA